CUCCUACGGGAGGCAGCAGUAGGGAAUCUUCCACAAUGGACGCAAGUCUGAUGGAGCAACGCCGCGUGAGUGAAGAAGGGUUUCGGCUCGUAAAGCUCUGUUGUUGGUGAAGAAGGACAGGGGUAGUAACUGACCUUUGUUUGACGGUAAUCAAUUAGAAAGUCACGGCUAACUACGUGCCAGCAGCCGCGGUAAUACGUAGGUGGCAAGCGUUGUCCGGAUUUAUUGGGCGUAAAGCGAGUGCAGGCGGCUCGAUAAGUCUGAUGUGAAAGCCUUCGGCUCAACCGGAGAAUUGCAUCAGAAACUGUCGAGCUUGAGUACAGAAGAGGAGAGUGGAACUCCAUGUGUAGCGGUGAAAUGCGUAGAUAUAUGGAAGAACACCGGUGGCGAAGGCGGCUCUCUGGUCUGUUACUGACGCUGAGGCUCGAAAGCAUGGGUAGCGAACAGGAUUAGAUACCCUGGUAGUCCAUGCCGUAAACGAUGAGUGCUAAGUGUUGGGAGGUUUCCGCCUCUCAGUGCUGCAGCUAACGCAUUAAGCACUCCGCCUGGGGAGUACGACCGCAAGGUUGAAACUCAAAGGAAUUGACGGGGGCCCGCACAAGCGGUGGAGCAUGUGGUUUAAUUCGAAGCAACGCGAAGAACCUUACCAGGUCUUGACAUCCAUAGCCAGUCUAAGAGAUUAGAUGUUCCCUUCGGGGACUAUGAGACAGGUGGUGCAUGGCUGUCGUCAGCUCGUGUCGUGAGAUGUUGGGUUAAGUCCCCGCAACGAGCGCAACCCUUUGUCAUUAGUUGCCAGCAUUAAGUUGGGCACUCUAAUGAGACUGCCGGUGACAAACCGGAGGAAGGUGGGAUGACGUCAAGUCAUCAUGCCCCUUAUGACCUG
RNAcentral lists this ribosomal RNA (883 nucleotides) under uncultured bacterium. Its description in RNAcentral is "bacterial SSU rRNA". It matches the Rfam family "Bacterial small subunit ribosomal RNA", at positions 336 to 1211 of the family's 1533-position model. The record is from RNAcentral.